AUGACUCCUGAAGAUGGUUCCCAGUCUCCUGACUAUUCUAAUACUGAAUUAAAGACUACAGGAAAGGGUUUUGAAUCAGACCUGGAAGAUCCUGAUCAUGAAAGGAGAUUCAUAACUGCAAAGGAAUUCCAAGCCAUGGAGAAAGAACUAGAAGAUGUAAGAGAAGAACUGAAAUGCUUGAAGUGGAAAGUGAGACACAUCGGUGAGACCGUGCAGCCCCUGGCAGAAGAUAGCAAGCGUUACAAUGGCUACACCCUGACUGAGCUCAAGGCAAUGGUGCAGUUUGAAGAUGAUCCUUACAAAGCUGCACACAAAAUCCUAACUGUGCUCUUCAGUGAUGUGUACUUGCUACAGCACUCAGUCACCGAACAGGCCUGCAACCCAAGAUCUCUGCCCAAGCCCCAAAUAGACCCUGAGUUGUACACAGUGUACCGUGACAUUCUGAAAAGCAUAUUCCCUGGAAUUAGUAGUCAGACCUUAAGGGAAGAGACACAACACGCGCAGAAAAGGACCCCGAAAGAAGUGCAAUAACAGCAGAGUCCACAAAAUCUUCUGCAAAAAGAGAAGUCUCUGAUGAUUUCAGAGCACUGAACUGUGGCAUGUAAAGUUAGCUGGGUCUAUCCCUUCYAGGUAGGAAUUUAUCUGUAAAUACAUUGGUGAGCUCCGAGCCCUUCAUGUCACUCUUACCUGAUGAGACAGAGUGGGAAGAUGUUCUGCAUACUUUCUAUAUUUUUGAAAAAAUUUGCCCCCUUAGUGUCUCUUUCAAUAUAUGGAUGCUCCCUUGUUUCCAGUAACUACAGUUGCUGCCAAAAGAAGCCAAAGAAGGCAUUGUGUAUGCAGGCAAGGGCCUUCCCCCCACCCCAAACAGACCUACCAACCAGCAUCUGGCUAGUUUCUAUUUUCUAGAGUGUAUCAUUCAUUAAAAGACAUUACUUGUUAGAAAAUUUUGCCUGUCUUUUUUUUUUUUCUUUUUUUUUUUUUUGUCUAAAAAUACUUCGCACAUCAAAUCAAACAGCAAUUGUAACUGGAACACACAAUAGGAUGAGACCUGGCCAUGCAG
This 1060-nucleotide long non-coding RNA is filed under the name Dromaius novaehollandiae (emu). RNAcentral's name for it is "lncRNA (ENSDNVG00000001379.1)". Lineage: Eukaryota; Metazoa; Chordata; Aves; Casuariiformes; Dromaiidae. The record is from RNAcentral.